RNAcentral lists this long non-coding RNA (4708 nucleotides) under Oryza sativa (Asian cultivated rice). Its description in RNAcentral is "long non-coding RNA (OSAT_LNC001956)". Lineage: Eukaryota; Viridiplantae; Streptophyta; Magnoliopsida; Poales; Poaceae. The record is from RNAcentral.
UCUCAGUGGGCAAGGUCCUCCUUUUAUAUCUUAAGGGGAUACCACAUGCACCAUCCCCCCCUCUCUGUGGGGACUUACCCUACCUUUUCAUAAAUGGACGGAGAUUUGCAUGGUUGCCGUUCGAGUCACCUUCUGAUGGGACGGCCCGCACCUACCUCCACUUUCGCCGGGAGCAGGCGCGACGCGGAAUCAUGGCUGUCUGCUGACGACAUGACCGGUGCUGACGACAUGACCGGUGUCAGACUGGUCACAAAUCGGUCAUUCUUGUCCACCACGCGUCAGCUUAGCAAUCUGUACGUUGGCCCUUCUUCACACAACAUUUUGCCUGUAAUGGUUAGGAUGAAGCCUGGCAUAUAUCUGACCAGGACUAACGUGCCAUCUCUGGGAGGUAACACGCUAGCUCCAGCUGGGGACGAGCGCCUAGAAGCCCUCGUCCUGACGGGAUGGGGCGAGGCGUGCGUCAGAUCGCCUGUCGCCACCUAACCCGCGAUCUGACCGGUCUGUGACUAGUCACAGACCGGAUAAAUGAGUGCACUGCACUGCGUUACAUGCGGCGUGACACGCUCAGCCAAACCGCAAUAAAUGUGGUUAGGUGAGCCCCACUGUGCUCACCUAACCCAUACACGCGGAGCGAAAACCCACGAGGGGUCGGGGCGCCUCGGCCCUCGGGGCCAAGGCGGGAGCGGUCCGACCCCCUCGGGGAGACAAAGAGGAGGGCGAACACAUCACCCUCGGGCCCGACGCCCCCCGAGGGUGCCAGGCCACGUGGGCGAUUGUGUCUGUCUCAAGCCUCUAUUCAUGAUACUCCCGGUCCCAUGUCACCGACAGUAGCCCCCGGCGUUAUGCCAGGGCGAUCGCCCUCCCCGAGGGAAGCGGUCGGGCGUGACGCCACUUCUAAGGCCUGGUGACAGGUGGGGCCGGUUCCUACAGGUGCCGUCGAACUACAUCACCCAGAGGGCGGUGUGAGGCAGCUGCGAUGGGCUCGAGCUGGCCUGGGGGGCGGAGACGAGCUCGGGAGCUGGGGUCCACUCCGCCACAAAGUCGGCGAGGGCCUGGCUCUUGAUCGCGUGGCUUGGUUCAAAGCGCAAAUCGAAUUCAGAGAGUUCGAUUGCCCAUUCCACCACCCGUCCAGUACCCUCUCGGUUAUACAAGAUUUGGCCGAGGGGAUAAGACGUAACCACCGUGACCCGAUGCGCCUGGAAAUAAUGGCGCAACUUCCUCGAAGUUAUCAGGAUAGCGUAAAGCAUCUUCUGGGCCUGAAGGUAUCGGGUCUCAGCGUCCCGGAGGGCCUCGCUAACGAAGUAGACGGGCCGCUGCACCUUUCGGCGGGGCCGAUCUUCUUCGUCAGGGGCCACAUCUCCAGGGCGCUCUCCAUCCGAGAGGCCACGCGGGGCGCACUCGGCUUCUGUGCCGACGACCUCGGGGUCAGAGGGCGACAGGCGCGGCCUUCCCGCAGUGGCCUCGGGGCCAUCCUGGGGGUCGGGGGCGCCUGGCACCGUCGGACAAGCAGGCGGAGGGCCAGCUCCGGCCGUCGGGGGCCUUGGGCCGCCGUUCGGCUCGGGGGCCUCUCCUCCCUGCUCUCUCUCUCUUCGGGCAGAAUCCCGGCGGUCGCAAAUCGCGCGCAUCAGCAAGGGAAAAACGACCGACAAUAAUGAGCGGCCCCUCGGCUCGCGUUUGCCUUCAACCCCGACGAGGAGUGCGGUGACGACGGUGCGGACGACAGCGACGGCGAGGCCGGCUACCCGGGCGCGUCGGAGUGAGCCCCCAGGCCUCCGCCAAUCUUAAUAGCUUUUCCUUCUUCUUCCGAGGCCUUCGGGCCCCCUUCUUGUUAUAGGCUGAUUUAAUCUGCAAUCAAAUAAAGAGGAAAUUUUUGUGUCAAUUUCAUUUGUUCUGUGUAUGAGACGAGGAUGGUCUGUGCCACGGUCCUUCUGUGUCUUGGCUUGAACAAGGGCUCGUGCCCAGGCCCCAGCCUCAAACGGCGCGGGUCAAGGCUAGUGCCUGGGGAGAUCCACAUGUCGAGACUGGCCAGGCCGGGAGCGUGGUGACCGAGGGUUAUGGGUGACCCGAUUGUGGGUUUUUGCCGAUUCCCCCCCGGAGUUCACCACGUCCCGGGGCAUGGCUCGGUUCUGGGCCCCUUUUGGCGAUUUUAGCCGACCCGAGCCCCCGAGGGUAGGAUUGAGCACGAGUGACCUAUUUCAAGUCAAGAUUCUUCAAAAGGAAACAAAAGCACAGACACAGCCUUUAGGAAAUCGAAAAUGCUUUUAUUGAAAUACGGAAGAGAAAAAAGAUAAGCCCCCGGCCAACCCUGCACGCCCGGGGGGGUGCGGAGUUGGCCCGAGCCCAAGACCUGACACCCGACCCCCACUAGGGGUAGAAGCGACGAAGGUGUUCGAUGUUCCACGGGUUAGGCAGCUCUGUGCCGUCGCCCGUGGCCAGCCGAACGGAGCCCGGCCGGGGGACGCCGAUCACUCGAUACGGACCCUCCCACAUUGGUGAGAGUUUGCUCAGUCCAGCACGCGUUUGGACACGGCGUAGGACGAGGUCGUCGACGCAGAGUGAUCGGGCCCGGACGUGGCGCUGAUGGUAGCGCCGCAGGCUCUGCUGGUAGCGCGCGGCUCGAAGGGCCGCGCGCCGCCUUCGCUCUUCCAAGUAGCCGAGGUCAGGGAGCGUCGGCUUCCUUCUUUUUGUCGCUCGCAGGCCUCCCCUUUCGGGUGGCCCGCGGAGCGCCCUCGACGGCGAGGACAUGACCCUCGUCGUCGGUAUGGGCUGACCUCUUCUUCCUCCUCCUGUCACGCCGCCCUGUCUGAGCGGCGGAUCCGAGGGCGGCCGAAGCUGCCACACCGGAACCGGAGGGGUUCCAGGUCCAUGCCUCCUCCUUGCGAGCCACUCGGUCCGCGAGCUGAAAAAGCUCCGCGGUAGUCUGGGGCUCCUUGGAGGCGAUCUUUUCGAGCAUGCGGUUGUGCCGCACGCCCCCCCUGAACGCGUAGAUUACCACGUGCGCAGGGAUGCAUGGUAUGGUGUUGCGGACUUGACAGAACCGCUGAAUGUACGAGCGAAGUGACUCAUCAUCCCUUCGCUGUACUGCGUGUAAGUCCGCUUCUUCACCUGGGCGCGGAUAUGUGCCCUGAAAGUUCAUGGUGAACUGUUGGCACAAAUCCUCCUAGGAGUGGACUGACGCGGGUGGCAAGUUCAUUAGCCAACCCCGCGCCUGCCCCUUCAGGGCCAUGGGAAAGAAAUUCGCCAUGACCCUGUCGUCACCCCCGGCGGCCUCAAUCCCGGUCGUGUAGACCUGGAGAAACUCGGCGGGGUUGACGCUGCCAUCAUAUUUUUCGGCGAUGGUGGGCCGGAACCUUGGGGGCCAACGGACAUUCCGAAGACUCGCCACAAAGGCUCUACAGCCGACACCACCAACCGGGGGCACGGAGGGCUGAUUCCCGCGUCCGUGCUGAGGUGACACUCUGGACGAGGAAGCGCCCUCCGUUGCGUGGGUAGCACGUCGGUCAUUACGCCGCCGCUCGAUGCUGGUGCGGGCGUCCGGCCUCCCUCGCAGAUCUUUCCGGGCCGAAGGAGUCGACGAAGGAGUGGUGGCCGAAUGGCGAACGGCGGCUGCCGCUCGCCGCGCCCUUCGUCUUGACGACGCGGAGCCGGUGGUAGCAGCACCAGAGGCCUUGGUGGCGGAGGACCGCCCACCAGCAUCUAUACACUGCCGUGCAGUCAUGACCAAUUUGGCCACAUCGUCCAGCCAGCGUUGGGCUGGAGACUCCGGGUCAUGGGCGACGGGCGGGUGACGUAGGAGCGCGCCCGCAGCUUGGAGCGCGCCCUGGGGCGUGCUGCCGUCACCAUAGACGAGGAAGCGACGCUCCCCAUCUCGCCGCCCCUUUCCACCUCCUGUGGAUGUCGAAGUCGCGGAUCCUUCGGCCCUCUCGAGCGCCUCCCCCUGCUUAGGACUUUGGCGUGGAGGGGGCGGUGGAGUACGAGCUCGACGGCGUGGGUUCGGCUCCCCGUCGUCGCCACUCACACUCGGAGAGAGGUCGUGCGCCUUUGCUUGCUCAGCCAUGAGGCUGAACAGGAAAAGCUUGGCGCACACGAAAGAGUGCAAGAGCUCAGAAGAUCACUCGCAGAGUCCCCUACCUGGCGCGCCAGAUGACGGAGCGUGGGGCUCCUCACCGGGAGACCGCGCUGGCCCCCCUUUGCCGGUUCGGCCGGGGACCCUGGGUGAGACUCCAAGCUCCCAAUCUGUGGAAGGUUCGCGAGACAGGAAGCACAGAAGACGCCGGCGAUGUAUACAGGUUCAGGCCGCUGAGAAGCGUAAUACCCUACUCCUGUGUUUUGGGAGAUCUGUGUGUGAAGGAGCUACAAAGUAUCAGCCAGCCUCUCCCUUGUUCUGGGUUCCCAAUCUGGAAAAGUCCAGUCCAAAAACCCAAAAACCUCCCUCUCAGUGGGCAAGGUCCUCCUUUUAUAUCUUAAGGGGAUACCACAUGCACCAUCCCCCUCUCUCUGUGGGGACUUACCCUACCUUUUCAUAAAUGGACGGAGAUUUGCAUGGUUGCCGUUCGAGUCACCUUCUGAUGGGACGGCCCGCACCUACCUCCACUUUCGCCGGGAGCAGGCGCGACGCGGAAUCAUGGCUGUCUGCUGACGACAUGACCGGUGUCAGACUGGUCACAAAUCGGUCAUUCUUGUCCACCACGCGUCAGCUUAGCAAUCU